Long non-coding RNA from Oncorhynchus tshawytscha (Chinook salmon), 610 nucleotides. NCBI's taxonomy places the organism in Eukaryota, Metazoa, Chordata, Actinopteri, Salmoniformes, Salmonidae. The record is from Ensembl.
CCAUGCAUAGUCGGGUGGUAGGGUGGUCCCAUGCAUAGUCGGGUGGUAGGGUGGUCCCAUGCAUAGUCUGGUGGUAGGGUGGUUUCAUGCAUAGUCGGGUGGUAGGGUGGUCCCAUGCAUAGUCGGGUGGUAGGGUGGUUCCAUGCAUAGUCGGGUGGUAGGGUGGUUCCAUGCAUAAUCGGGUGUUAGGGUGGUCCCAUGCAUAGUCGGCUUGUAGGGUGGUCACAUGCAUAGUCGGGUGGUCCCAUGCAUAGUGGUCCUAUGCAUAGUUGGGUGGUAGGGUGGUCCCAUGCAUAGUCGGGUGGGUGGGUGGUCCCAUGCAUAGUCGGGCGAUAGUGUGGUCCCAUGGAUAGUCCGGGUGGUAGGGUGGUCCCAUGCAUAGUCAGGUGGUUCCUUCCAGCAACUCCGUAUUGCGGAGAAUUGAGGAGUGUGACGGGCGACUAACUACCACAGUUCCCAUAACGGGUGAGUCAUCAUCAUCGUCUUUCAGACCUUUUUAGCAGAUCUCUCUCUCUCCGUCCUUGUCUCUCUCUCUCUCUCUCUCUCCCCCUCCUUCUCUCUCUCUCUCUCUCUCUCUCCUUGUCUCUCUCUCCUAUUCUCUCUCUCUCUC